This 218-nucleotide long non-coding RNA is filed under the name Prunus persica (peach). RNAcentral describes it as "long non-coding RNA (PPER_LNC000994)". The record is from RNAcentral. Lineage: Eukaryota; Viridiplantae; Streptophyta; Magnoliopsida; Rosales; Rosaceae.
CACCGCAACCCAAUGAAGUGUGCCUUCGGUUUAUCUUUCGACAAAGUCUUGGUCUUCAUGAUCAGCCAAUGAGAUAUUAAGUCUAACCCAGAAAAACUGGUGAACAUACAAGUGCCAAAGACACAAAAGUAUAUCAAAGGCAACAAAGGAUUACAUGAGCAAGGCACCACUGCUCUUUAAACCACUCCCUAGUGAGGGCCUCAUCAUCUACCUCUCAG